This 87-nucleotide transfer RNA is filed under the name Ignavibacteriota bacterium. RNAcentral's name for it is "Ignavibacteriae bacterium (activated sludge metagenome) tRNA-Ser". It matches the Rfam family "tRNA". Rfam says of the family: Transfer RNA (tRNA) molecules are approximately 80 nucleotides in length. Their secondary structure includes four short double-helical elements and three loops (D, anti-codon, and T loops). RNAcentral also lists the same sequence under 1 other name. The record is from RNAcentral. Lineage: Bacteria; Pseudomonadati; Ignavibacteriota.
GGAGAGUUGGCAGAGUGGUUGAAUGCGGCGGUCUUGAAAACCGUUAAGGAUUUACGUCCUUCUGGGGUUCGAAUCCCUAACUCUCCG